This 459-nucleotide ribosomal RNA is filed under the name uncultured bacterium. RNAcentral describes it as "partial 16S ribosomal RNA". It matches the Rfam family "Bacterial small subunit ribosomal RNA", at positions 338 to 795 of the family's 1533-position model. The record is from RNAcentral.
CCUACGGGUGGCAGCAGUGAGGAAUAUUGGUCAAUGGCCGGAAGGCUGAACCAGCCAAGCCGCGUGAAGGACGAAGGUGCCAAGCAUUGUAAACUUCUUUUGUCAAGGGACAAAAUCAGGCUCGAGAGCCUGACCGAGGGUACUUGAAGAAAAAGCAUCGGCUAACUCCGUGCCAGCAGCCGCGGUAAUACGGAGGAUGCGAGCGUUAUCCGGAUUUAUUGGGUUUAAAGGGUGCGUAGGCGGACUGUUAAGUCAGCGGUAAAAGCCCGGGGCUCAACCCCGGCGAGCCGUUGAAACUGGCUGUCUUGAGAUGUCGAGAGGUAUGCGGAAUGCGUAGUGUAGCGGUGAAAUGCGUAGAUAUUGCGCAGAACUCCGAGUGCGAAGGCAGUAUACCGGCGGCGAUCUGACGUUGAGGCACGAAAGCGUGGGGAGCGAACAGGAUUAGAUACCCUUGUAGUC